UAUGGCCACAUCACACUGAAACACCAGUUCCUGUAUGAUCACCAAAGUUAAGCAAUGUCGAACCCGGUCAGUACCUAGAUGGGUAACCACUUAUGAAUACCAGGUGCUGUAAG
This is a non-coding RNA of Acanthosepion pharaonis, 113 nucleotides long. Lineage: Eukaryota; Metazoa; Mollusca; Cephalopoda; Sepiida; Sepiidae. The record is from the annotation of a GenBank genome assembly.